AGCGAACGCUGGCGGCAGGCUUAACACAUGCAAGUCGAGCGGGCACUUUCGGGUGUCAGCGGCGGACGGGUGAGUAACGCGUGGGAACGUGCCCUCUGGUUCGGAAUAACUCAGGGAAACUUGAGCUAAUACCGGAUACGCCCUUUUGGGGAAGGCUUGCUGCCGGAGGAUCGGCCCGCGUCUGAUUGGCUAGUUGGUGAGGUAACGGCUCACCAAGGCGACGAUCAGUAGCUGGUCUGAGAGGAUGAUCAGCCACACUGGGACUGAGACACGGCCCAGACUCCUACGGGAGGCAGCAGUGGGGAAUAUUGGACAAUGGGCGCAAGCCUGAUCCAGCCAUGCCGCGUGAGUGAUGAAGGCCUUAGGGUUGUAAAGCUCUUUUAUCCGGGACGAUAAUGACGGUACCGGAGGAAUAAGCCCCGGCUAACUUCGUG
RNAcentral lists this ribosomal RNA (434 nucleotides) under uncultured bacterium. RNAcentral's name for it is "partial 16S ribosomal RNA". It matches the Rfam family "Bacterial small subunit ribosomal RNA", at positions 29 to 507 of the family's 1533-position model. The record is from RNAcentral.